Capsicum annuum is the source of this 415-nucleotide long non-coding RNA. RefSeq lists it as uncharacterized. NCBI's taxonomy places the organism in Eukaryota, Viridiplantae, Streptophyta, Magnoliopsida, Solanales, Solanaceae. The record is from RefSeq and is a predicted model, not a curated record. The transcript is spliced from 3 exons.
CACAUUAUAUGGACUUUUCUUUCUCUCUCUAAAUACGCUGCUCCCUCUUCUCUCUACAAAAAUCCUUCAAUUAGUAACAAAAGUGUGCGAAUCAGUAACAUUAUUUUCAUUUUGGACAUUGAAUCAGGUAGAGAGGAAUGAUGCAGAGGAUCAACUAACGCUGAAAAGACGUAUUUCUUCUGCUGUUGUGAAGUUUAUGAAUUCAGAUUGAAGAGGGGGAGAUUGUUGAGGAUUUAUUUGGAGCUCCAACAGAUAUAAAUAAGGAAGAUGCAGCUGUGAAAGAAAAUUCAAGGGAGGUAUCUGUCAGUCAAGAUCCAAUUGGCUCCGGAGAGAUGGUUAUAAAAGGCCAUCCAAAAUGGUAAGCAUACAUGCAUGCCUUUGGUGGUCCAUACCUAUAUUUUGUUAGUCCUUAUUC